This 103-nucleotide small nuclear RNA is filed under the name Mus pahari (shrew mouse). The record is from RNAcentral. Lineage: Eukaryota; Metazoa; Chordata; Mammalia; Rodentia; Muridae.
ACAUUUUGGCAGACCAUGUACUAAAAUUGGUACAAUGUGGAGAAGAUUAGCAUGGUCUUAAACAAGGAUAACACACAAAUUCAUGAUGUUUUUCAUACUUACU